Molecule: ribosomal RNA, 497 nt
Filed under: uncultured bacterium
Lineage: Bacteria
Description: partial 16S ribosomal RNA
Rfam family: Bacterial small subunit ribosomal RNA
Source: RNAcentral
GAUGAACGCUGGCGGCGUGCUUAAUACAUGCAAGUCGAGCGAACGGACGAGAAUUUUGUUUCUUUGCUUUUAGCGGCGGACGGGUGUGUAACACGUGGAUACCUUCCUUUACUUACUGGUAUAAUUUCGGAAAACCGGAGCUAAUCCCGUAUAAUCUUUUGAACCGCUUGGUUCAUAAGUAAAAUACGGUCUUUCUGUCACUUAUAGAUGCUUCCGCGCUGCAUUAGCUAGUUGUUAAGGUAACGGCUUACCAAGGCAACGAUGCAUAGCCGACCUGAGAGGGUGAUCGGCGACACGGGAACUGAGACACGGUCCAGACUCCUACGGGAGGCAGCAGUAGGGAAUCUUCCGCAAUGGGCGAAAGCCUGACGGAGCAACGCCGCGUGAGUGAUGAAGGUCUUCGGAUCGUAAAACUCUGUUAUUAGGGAAGAACAUAUGUGUAAGUAAAUGUGCACAUCGUGACGGUACCUAAUCAGAAAGCCACGGCUAACUACGUG